This 253-nucleotide ribosomal RNA is filed under the name uncultured bacterium. RNAcentral's name for it is "partial 16S ribosomal RNA". It matches the Rfam family "Bacterial small subunit ribosomal RNA", at positions 524 to 776 of the family's 1533-position model. The record is from RNAcentral.
UACAGAGGGUGCGAGCGUUACUCGGAAUUACUGGGCGUAAAGCGCGCGUAGGCGGCUUUGCAAGCCGGAUGUGAAAUCCCCGGGCUUAACCUGGGAACUGCAUUCGGGACUGCAUGGCUAGAGUAUGGGAGAGGGAAGUGGAAUUUCAGGUGUAGCGGUGAAAUGCGUAGAUAUCUGGAGGAACACCGGUGGCGAAGGCGGCAUCCUGGACCGACACUGACGCUGAGGCGCGAAAGCUAGGGUAGCAAACGGG